Long non-coding RNA from Cylas formicarius (sweet potato weevil), 390 nucleotides. RefSeq lists it as uncharacterized. The transcript has 4 exons. Lineage: Eukaryota; Metazoa; Arthropoda; Insecta; Coleoptera; Brentidae. The record is from RefSeq and is a predicted model, not a curated record.
AUCAGAGCGUUGCGGCAUAUUACAUUUAAAGUGAGACUUCCGACCCUCUCCCUCCCUAACGAAUUCUUCUUCACGGAUCGAUGAAUUAAAUGGCGUACAAGAGUUGCCUGGCUGUUUGAUCAUUUGUGAGUGCAUAACCUAACGACUUGAAUUAUGCCUUCGCCUUGUGAAUCUUGUAAAGGAACAUGCACCGACGGAAAAUCAAAUUGUGGGGAUAAUUGUAAAUGUGGCCCCGACUGCAAAUGUUCAGGAAAAAAAGGAAACUAAAUCCGUAAGGUGGAGGACCAUCAACUAGAAUAUGCACAUCCUUAGAAAGGAGCAUCAAGUUUUGAUGCAGUAGCUUGCUCUUAUUAACUAAUAAUAAUCGCAAAUAUACAGAUGUGAAUCCGA